This 407-nucleotide ribosomal RNA is filed under the name uncultured bacterium. Its description in RNAcentral is "partial 16S ribosomal RNA". It matches the Rfam family "Bacterial small subunit ribosomal RNA", at positions 28 to 526 of the family's 1533-position model. The record is from RNAcentral.
GACGAACGCUGGCGGCGUGCCUAAUACAUGCAAGUAGAACGCAGUUGCGAACGGGUGAGUAACGCGUAGGUAACUGCCUGGUAGAGGGGGAUAACUAUUGGAAAAGAUAGCUAAUACAGCAUCCUACCAGGUGGACCUGCGUUGUAUUAGCUAGGUGGUGGGGUAACGGCUAAACAAGGCAACGAUACAUAGCCGACCUGAGAGGGUGAUCGGCCACACCGGGACUGAGACACGGCCCAGACUCCUACGGGAGGCAGCAGUAGGGAAUCUUCGUCAAUGGACGGAAGUCUGACCGAGCAACGCCGCGUGAGUGAAGAAGGGUUUCGGAUCGGAAAGCUCUGUUGUAAGAGAAGCGGUAUCUUACCAGAAAGCGACAGCUAACUACGUGCCAGCAGCCGCGGUAAUUC